AUACGGAGGGGGUUAGCGUUGUUCGGAAUUACUGGGCGUAAAGCGCACGUAGGCGGACUGGAAAGUUGGGGGUGAAAUCCCGGGGCUCAACCCCGGAACUGCCUCCAAAACUUCCAAUCUAGAGAUCGAGAGAGGUGAGUGGAAUUCCAAGUGUAGAGGUGAAAUUCGUAGAUAUUUGGAGGAACGCCAGUGGCGAAGGCGGCUCACUGGCUCGAUACUGACGCUGAGGUGCGAAAGCGUGGGGAGCAAACAGGAUUAGAUACCCCAGUAGUCC
Molecule: ribosomal RNA, 274 nt
Filed under: uncultured bacterium
Lineage: Bacteria
Description: partial 16S ribosomal RNA
Rfam family: Bacterial small subunit ribosomal RNA
Source: RNAcentral